Molecule: RNase P RNA, 330 nt
Filed under: human gut metagenome
Description: Bacterial RNase P class A
Rfam family: Bacterial RNase P class A
About the family: Ribonuclease P (RNase P) is a ubiquitous endoribonuclease, found in archaea, bacteria and eukarya as well as chloroplasts and mitochondria. Its best characterised activity is the generation of mature 5'-ends of tRNAs by cleaving the 5'-leader elements of precursor-tRNAs.
Source: RNAcentral
GAUGCCGGAUGGUCGCAGGCGUUUUCGCGUCUGAGGAAAGUCCGGGCACCGCAGGGCAGAGUGCCGGGCAGCUCCCGGUGAAGGCGACUUUAAGGAAAGUGCAACAGAGAUAUACCGCGUCUCUCCUUUGGGAGCGGCGUAAGGGUGGAAAGGCGAGGUAAGAGCUCACCAGCGGCAUGGCAACUUGUCCGCUCUGUAAACCCCACUUGGUGCAAGAUUGAUAAGAGGGCAUAUGCGGCGGCCCGUCGCGCUCUCGGGUAAUCGCUCGAGCCUGAUGGCAACUUCAGGCCUAGAUAGAUGGCCAUCUAAGACAGAACCCGGCUUAUAGAC